RNAcentral lists this ribosomal RNA (481 nucleotides) under uncultured bacterium. RNAcentral describes it as "partial 16S ribosomal RNA". It matches the Rfam family "Bacterial small subunit ribosomal RNA", at positions 28 to 507 of the family's 1533-position model. The record is from RNAcentral.
GACGAACGCUGGCGGCGUGCUUAACACAUGCAAGUCGAACGGGAUCCGGGCUUUCGGGUUUGGUGAGAGUGGCGAACGGGUGAGUAACACGUGAGUAACCUGCCCCCUUCUUUGGGAUAACGUCGGGAAAUCGGCGCUAAUACUGGAUAUUCUUGCUGCAUCGCAUGGUGUGGUUUGGAAAGGGUUUCUGGUGGGGGAUGGGCUCGCGGCCUAUCAGCUUGUUGGUGGGGUGAUGGCCUACCAAGGCUUUGACGGGUAGCCGGCCUGAGAGGGUGUCCGGCCACACUGGGACUGAGACACGGCCCAGACUCCGACGGGAGGCAGCAGUGGGGAAGAUUGCACAAUGGGCGCAAGCCUGAUGCAGCGACGCCGCGUGAGGGAUGACGGCCUUCGGGUUGUAAACCUCUUUCAGUAUGGAACAAGGAUCCUUCUUUUGGGGGGUUUGAGGGUACGUGCAGAAGAAGCGCCGGCUAACUACGUG